Molecule: long non-coding RNA, 5047 nt
Filed under: Nicotiana benthamiana
Lineage: Eukaryota; Viridiplantae; Streptophyta; Magnoliopsida; Solanales; Solanaceae
Description: long non-coding RNA (NBEN_LNC018707)
Source: RNAcentral
ACCAAAGGGCGACCCCCUUGCUCUCUUCACUCUGCCCGCGACCCUGCCGCUUCAAACUCGCCGGAACUCGCCCAAACCCGGCAAGUUCACUUACAUUGUCCCGUCAUGGUCCCCCCUCCUCUCCUUCGCUUCUUCCACGUCACCAAACCCUAACAUACUUUGGCAACAAAAUGAUUUCAUCCAGAUUUCCACGCGGUAUUCAUUCCUCUUGGAGCAAAUCCGGAUCUAUUAGGUAAAAGAUUAUUAAAAUGGGGACCGUUAGAUAAGGUAAUUAUGAUCCAAAGCCCUCCAUUUUUCUGAUUUUUUAUUUGGAAAUGGAUUUCAGAUUUCGUGGGGAGGAAGCAUAGAAGGUUCUAUCUCUAUAUAUAUAGGAGGAUUUUCAGACAGAGUAAUUGAGAGAAAAAGGAGGUUAAAAAAUUAGGGUUAUAAUAGGGAGUUUCUUCUUUUCUUCUCAAUUUGGAUCCAUUUUUAGUUGAUUACAAAUUCCAUAAAGACAAAAAUACAAAGAAAAAAAAAACAGUUAUAGUUCUGUUACUCCUUUCCACUUCGAUUUUCGAUUUCAAUACGGAGUUUGUCUGAGGUUGCCGUGGACUCGAGUUGUUCGAGAUUUUUAGUGCUUGUAAAUCGAGGUUCAUUGUGGUCCCAUUUGUGCCGAGCAAAUUCAGUCCAGGCUUGUUCGAAUUUGGUUGCUUUUUGCUUCAAUUCUCGUUGUCGAACUUCAGCUGUAUUUGGCAUUCAAGCAAAUUAAUUAAAGUUCUUGACGUUUCAGGUCCCUUUCCUCCCUCUUCUAUUUUUAUGUGAAAAUUGGUUUUCUUGAGUUAAUUCAGAAUCAGUCAGAGUGAUCUUCUCUUCGUGUGUUCAGUUUGCUUUAAAUGUUUGAAGGUUAAAAUUUGCAUAUGUCUAAGAGAUCGAUUGGAGUUAUGUUCUUAUACGUGCUUAUUCAAGUUGCUUAAUAUGUGUUAAUUUGAGUCGUGGUUAAUUUAGUUUGGACUAUGUCUCACUGUAGUAUACCAUGUGUAUUCAGUGUGUCGACCAGAAGUUAGUAUAUUACUGUUUUUACUUAUGAUUAAGUAUGUCGAAGGCCUUCAGCCAUUAGAGUAGCGUGUUCUUUGACCUCGUCUCUUUUUAAGGUUUCAAGUUCUAAGUUAGGAUUUUCAUACUCAUUGAAACAUGUUUACAAAUAUUACCAUGCCUUCCAGUGAUCCAUAUCUGAAACAGAAUCACACCUUCUCACAUGUGUUGAACUAGGAGCCAUUCGUUGACAAGAGUGUUGUUCAAUGGUGCUUUGUAUUUAACAGACAUAGAAGGCAAAUGUGCAGAUAUGGCCAUCAAUUAUGAUGCAGUUAAGAGGUACUAUGUAUGAUUUUCUUGCUUACCUUCAGUUUUAUUUUGUACUUGGCAUAUUCAAAGUUGAAAUGACGAAGGAAUUUUGUUCAGCUACCUAAACACUUUCAUCCUUUGCUACCCUUUCUGAGCCUUAUUUAUUUUCUUUCAUACCCCACUUUUGGAAUCAACAACAGAAGUAAAGAAUAAAGAUGAUGAUGAAUGAGUGAAAAUAAGAAAAAUGAAAAAACAAGAAAAACAAAAAGAAAAGAAAAAAAACAACAAAAAAGAAAAAAAAACUAUAAGAAAAAAAAGAAAACAAAGAAAAGAAAAGAAAAAAAACAACAAAUAAGAAAAAAAACAACAAAAAAGAAAAAAAAAUUAUAAGAAAAAAAAAAGAAAACAAGCAACUUUGUCGUUUGAACUACGUUCGACCUGAUUCCUUUUAAGGAUACGUAGGCAGCCUUAAAGUUCGGUCCCAUCACAAUAAAAAUUAAAAUUCCCCAGACCCAAAGAAACUGGGGCAGAAGUUUUGGUUUUGAAGAGAUCUAAUUCCAAAAGUUGUAAUUUUAACCCCUUUUCAUCUUAUAUUAUUUUGAGCUUUCAUGCUACCCUUUCUUUCUAACCCCGUCCAAAAGCCUAAAUUAUGGUCCAAAGAAAGACCUUCCGAUCAAUCUUUGAAGAUGCCGGGUCAAGCAAGAUAGAUGUAUGAUUUGCAUCAUAGGUAAUACUUUGUUCAUGGGCGCUAGAGAGAAAAUUUAAAAUAAGAGAAUUUUAUUGGUGAAAACCCUCGUAGAAGAGAGUCUUAUUGGUGAAAACCCUCUCAGGCACCAUAAGGUGAUGGUGAGAUGAGAGAUGAACAAAUGAUAGAGGCUUGUCAGUGAAAACCCUUUUAGGGCACUACAAGUCGAAUGAGGCUCAUAACUUUACAGAGAAAUUGGAUCAAUGAAAGUCCGGUUUUGAAGUAUGAAGACAUGGCAUGAACUGAAAAUAUGAUUGGUUGGACGAAUUAGGUUGAUCAGUCUGAAAUGCAUGGCAUGAUCAUUGGGGCUGGCCACUUUCCUCAGAUAAGUCCUCUCUUUCUCAUUCUUCUCCACAUAAUCAUUUGUGUUCAAAAUUUUCAUUUGUUCCUUUUGUUAAAAAAUCAUUUCAUUUUACUCCUUAGGUCUAUAUUUAUGAGUUUCUUCCUAGUUAGUGCUUAUUAAACAAGCAGGAACGGAUUUCAAAGCCUACUACCAGCUUCUAAAUUGCACAAAGCGGAUUCAUGCCAGGCACAUCAAAAUUGGCAUGAUUCAGAAUGAGCAAUAUGGUGAUAAUUGAGGUUCAGGCAAUCAAGUGAAUCUUGAAUUUUGAGGAAAUACAAGGAUUCAACAACUUUCUAAAUAAAAAUUCAAUGCAACAAGUGAGUGUGAGGGACUGAGGUCAUGCAGAGGUUUCGUGGUCUAGUGUCAGUCAAAGGUCAAACCAAAAAUACAAUGCAACAAGCAGUGUGAGGGACUCAAGCCAUGCAGAGGUUUCGUGGUCUAGUUUCAGUCAAAGAUCAAACAACUCCUUGCUAGCCCGAAGCAGCUAAUCAAAAUGAAGUAUGGUAGUGGUGGAAGCAGACGCUCAACAAUGAGGCCACAAACUAACCACCACGUUUUCAAACUAACAAAUUUUAUUUGUCCGAAACAGGGGCAAGAACAUUUGUUAAUCCAUAGGGACCCCCAUGAAGAGAGCAUGGCUCAGGGGCAAGAAAUUCUGUUAAGAAUCCUUCAAGAUGAGAGCGUGUCUCAGGUAAGUUCACUCUCAGUUCUCAGGACCCUCCUGGAUAAUGGGAUUUAGUUUUUAAAAUUCUCAGGACCCUCCUAGAUAAGGGGGCAAGAAAUUCUGUUCAGAAUCCUCCAAGAUGAGAGCGUGUCUCAGGUAAGUUCACUCUCAGUUCUCAAGACCCUCCUGGAUAAUGGGAUUUAGUUUUUAAAAUUCUCAGGACCCUCCUAGAUAAUGAGAUUUAACAAAGUUUUCAGGACUCUCCUGGAUAAUGGGAUUUCAUUUCAUAAUUCUCAGGACCCUCCUGGAUAAUGGGACUUAGUAUUUAAAAUUCUCAGGACCCUCCUGGAUAAUGAGAUUUAGGUUUUUUAAAAAUAAAAAAAAUUCUCAGGACCCGCAUGGAUAAUGGGAUUUAGUUUUUAAAAUUCUCAUGACCCUUCUGGAUUAUGGGAUUUAGUUAUUAAAAAUUCUCAGGACCCUCCUAGAUAAUGAGAUUUAGUUUUUAAAAUUUUCAGGACCCUCCUGGAUAAUGGGAUUCAGGAUUUUAAAAUUCUCAGGAUCCUCUUGGAUAAUGGGUUUAGCUUUUAAAUUCUUAUAGUUCUGUAGGUGAUAUGGUCCGAUUAACACUUAGAAAUAUGCCCAGAUCCCAAACCGGGGAAGAAAAAGUUUCUUUUGUUUUGUCUGUUUUGUUGCAGUAUCAGGCGUCCACCUGGAUAACGAGGGAAUACAUUUCAAGUUUUUGCAAUCAGGCGCCCACCUGGAUAACGAGGGAAUUCAUUUUAAGUCUUUGCAAUCAGGCGCUCACCUGGAUAACGAGGGAAUACAUUUCAAGUCUUUACAAUCAGGCGCCCACCUGGAUAAUGAGGGAAUACUUUUCAAGUCUUUGCAAUCAAGAGCCCACCUGGAGAACGAGGGAAUACUGUCCAAGUUUUUGCAAUAAGGGGGAAUAUAUUUUAUGUAAUUGCAAUCAGGCGCCCACCUGGACAGCGAGGGAAUACAUUCCAAGUUUUUGCAAUCAAGCGCCCACCUGGAGAACGAGGGAAUGCAAUCCAAGUUUUUACAAUUAGUCGCCCACCUGGAUAACGAGGGAAUACAUUUCAAGUCUUUGCAAUCAGGUGCCCACCUGGAGAACGAGGGAAUACAGUCCAAGUUUUUGCAAUCAGGCGCCCACCUAGAGAACGAGAAAAUACAUUUCAAGUCUUUGCAAUCAGACGCCCACCUGGAGAACGAGGGAAUAUAUUUCAAGUAAUUGCAAUCAGGUGCCCACCUGGAGAACGAGGUAAUUAAUUUCAGAGUUACUUCAACUCACAAAUUCAAGAAGCAUCAGGAGCCUGCCUGAAGAGCAGGGUCCAUUUUUCAGUUGCAUAUUGAAGUUCAAGUAGAGAUUCAAGGAUGUUUCAAGACAAGAAAAUAGAUAGGAUCUUGUAUUUUUCUUUUAAUUUUGCUGUAAUUUUUCCAUUUUAUUUUUAUGUAAUGGCAGGAACCGCGAUCUGGAACCUCGAUGGCACUCGACUCGACUCUCCAUGUUGGUACUCCAUCUAGAUUUAAGGAUGUUUCAAGACAAGAAGAUAGAUAGGAUCUUGUAUUUUUCUUUAAAUUUUGCUGUAAUUUUUCCCUUUUAUUUUUGAUGUAAUGGCAGGAACCACAAACUGGAACCUCGACGACACUCGAAUCUACUUUCCACCUCGGUACUCCGUCGCACUUCUCACUUCGAGCUACACGUGGCCCGGUUCCUUUAUAGCCAAGGAUAUGUUGGCAGCUCCGAGACCAGGGCUCGACCACAUUUUCUUUCUCUACGUUUUGGUCUCUUUAAAUAAGGGUUGGGUCAAAAAUCAUGUCUUGUUGUUCUUUGUCUGAAAACACCUUAUGUUUCCCAUCAAAGAGGGGCAGCUAUAGACAUGUAAUUUUUGAUUUACGCAUUAGAAUUACUUUUAAUAGUCAUAGCAUUUUUGGGAUAUUUAUUUGGGCUUAUUCC